AUGGUUUGGUUUUGUUAGCCAGAUUCAGUCUUUCUUUAUCUCAGCUGAGGUUGAUGUGGGUUUAUUGGCAGAUUAUUUACAAAAGAAAUUGUUUGAGGUCAAGAGUUGAUGCCAAAUGUCCUGGAUCAGGACAACUCCUGGGAAACAAGGCGAACGGUAUGUGCGUGCAAAAUUGAAAAUUGUACUAGAUAUGUGUAGUUUGCUCCAGGAUCCUAUAUCAGUGUAUUUGCUUCGUGCAGUUCCCUAUGUCAUCCAUUAUAUUUAUAUAGGGAUAAAUUUCCACGGGUUGUUGUAAGCAAAACUCCCUAUGUACCGGCACUUGUCUCUUUACAGACUGUCCGGGCUUUCUAGAUUAGAAUAUAAUUGUUUUAGAUAAUUCGAAAUAAGUUUUUACGCCAGCUUGCACCUUUAUUAUUUGCAGCCGGGAAGUCUAUUUCUUUUCUUUUUUUUGAUUCAAAACUAUUGGCAUGAAUUGGCCCUUGCAUUUGGUCUGAGCACUUACAAUAAUUCCAACCUGUCAAUUGGGGACAGAUAUGUCCAUCACACCUGUACCUUUUAUUCAGUUUGAGGAGGAAUAAGUAGUCAAUUGGCUGAUUAAUUAUGUUUCAUGUGAUUUGUAUAUGGACGCAGUUGCAACAGUUAGCUGCAUCAACUAUAAUUUUUCUUUCGCUGGCGGGGCAUGCAUCCCGACGAGUUAUACAAUUUAGCUGAUUUAAUUCGUGGCCUAACAAUACUUUUGGUAAUAGUUGUCAAGUAAAAAAGGAUCUGCUUUUUCGUAAUGAUGGCCAAAUAAAAGAGGAUCCAAACCCUCACGAGUUUACAUUGUACAAAGCUAUUAUGUGCUGACAAUAAUUUUUCUAAGUUGCUCUCUACAUCUCGGUGUUAUUAGUCUAAAUAUUCUGAUUCCAAAGGAUGUUUUCAAACAUCAGAUCUUUUAAUAAAUUUGAAACAACAUAUCUUUCUAAUUUUGGUUCUGUCUAAAAUGAUGAAAUUCAAUUUUGUUCUACUGCAUAUUAGCUUAAUCAUCUUCACCAGCAGUAUAUAUUGCAGAUAAUUGUGUUGGUUUGGUUUUUAGCAUGUAGGUAUGAUAUGGUAAGCCUCCAGUGAAGGAGGGGCUUAGAAAAAGAGAAACUGUUCUAUUUGAUAUACAAUGUAAUUUGGAAAUUAAUGGCAGAAGGCUCCUAAACUAACAUAUGAUGUUUUGUUUGAAUUUCUCUUUACCGGAUUGUGUUACUUCUGCGCAGUCACCAUACUUGACAAGGGUCCCUGAUUUUAUCACUUCCGUUGACGAGUCUUGUGUCAGCAUCUUGAUGCGAGGUACAACUUCUAGGUGAUCUUCUUCAUGUUUUACGUUGUUGUACUUUUUGCUGCAAUGUGGACGUACAUAUUCUAGCAGAUAUAUCUUCAUGCUUUACCUUGUUUACCACUGCCCUGAUGUGGAGGUACAGAUUCUAGCUGAUAUAUAUCGUCAUGUUUUACCUUUUACCAACAUCCAAGAUUUUUGUUUCCUCAUUUCUUUCAAUUAGAUAGAAGAUGGGACGUGCUUUGUUGUAGUUUCCUCUUACUUUGACUAAGUAGGACAUUUUUUUGAAAUACCAAAUUGUGGUGUCGCUACCCCUACGCACCACGGUUUUGCAGCACCCUCAGCUAAAGUAAACCAUUCCAAGCCUACCAUACUCGAAACAUGGAAGCAUGCAAACUUCAGAGCAUCUUGGUGUCGCUGGCCACCCGAUCUCUACAACCACCACAAAAUGCUACAGGACCAACCAGGCCGGUGUCCUGACCACUGAAUCAUGUCACUGUGUGGGCGCCUAGAUCUCCCAUGUGUCUGUCUAAAGCCUGAGGGGCCAACCUCGCUCGAGCGUCGCCAGCCAGCACUCAUCUGCACAUGAACAAAUGGUUGGAUAUAUGUGCCUCCUCCGUCUCUUAUUCCCCGAAACAUAAUUUGAUGAGUAGAGUUUCUAAUCAUUUAUGGCACACUGGCAUAUGAUUAAACUGCACAAGUUAGAUUGACAUUUUGUGGAGAACGGUCGUCGGUUGGGAGCCUCGCCGUCUACCUCCACCAGCCGGCCCACACACCAUUGCUCCCCGCGUGUCGCGCCCCUCCCCGAACCAUCAUGCCUUCUAAUUAGUGUACGUGGUAGUCUGGUAAAAGUGGAGAAUAAUUCGGGUAAUGUCUAUGGAUGUACUACCAGUAUUGCGGCUAACCUGCCUGGCAGUGAGAUGCAUCUAGAUUAGAUCUGAUUACUGAUAUAGAAGAUGCAAUUAAUUAUCUAAAAUUUUCCUUGUACCAUUUUCCAUGAGAUUAAUGUAAUUGGGAAUACCAGUGCUUGUUUGAAUCAUUUAGUUAAAUAAUUUUAUAGAUAAAACUUGUAUUUGUAUGUUUUGGAAUUACUAUUAUCCUGGUAAAAUGACCACAAGUGAAAGGGUUGUAAAGAUUAAUUAUUCUUUGUGGAAGCAUUACUGGUCUAAUUAAUAGAUGUACAUGCAUCAAUAAUGUUGUUGAGCUUUAGUUGAUUCUAUAGUGUUGUACUAUUCGCAAAGUUCUAUUUUGAGAAAAAAAUGGCAAAUUCAAUAUUGUGCCAGCUAAAUGGCGCACCCGCUGUAGCAAGUGAGUUCCCAUCAAAAUCACCCUGAGCAUAUUUUUGCUGAUUUUCAUGAUUGCUCUUCUGCCAGGAACAAUGUUCCUGGCACUUCGACCACACAACUGUAUGUUCAUGUUCCAGUGUCCUUAUUCAUAGUUAAUUUCAAUCACAAAGUGACAAAUGUCAGUCUAUUAGUUAACAUGUGUAUCUCCGUUUCUUCUAAGUUUCAAUCGACCUACUCUGAAGUUGUUCCUAAGAUAGUGCCUCAAGCAAAGGGAAUGAGCCUCAGUUAGUGCAUCUAGCAAGUUCGUGAUCCUUUGUUGGGAUAAACAUUUGUGCAAGAGCAAUAGUCUCGUCACUAUUGGUUGUUAGUACUGUUGCUUGUUAAUUCUACUUUUUACUUCAGUUCGUAAUGCAAUAUAGUUAUGCUUGACGCACUAUAAGAAGACUGCCAUUUUGCCUUUUGACCUUGGUUUCUUCCUCCAGUAAGUAAAUGCACAUAGUUCUUUUGUAAAUUAGAGCAUACGACUUGUUGAUCGAUCUCUGAGCUCAGUAAUAAUAUUAAGCCUCAAUCUGUUUAUUGUGCACACAAGAUGAGAAAGAAUUGCUACCCAAGAAUAUGUACUUUAUAAACAUUUCAACUGUAAUCUGGAAAAAAAUUAAAUAAAUAAGGAAACAGUAUAUUCAUAUAUCUUUUUUGUACUUUGAUGGUGUCACACCACAAGUUCCGAGAUGGUAAUUGUGCUGCAUAUGUCUGCUCUCUUACUUUGUUUUUCUGAACAGGUAGGUUCUGGAAGAUGUCAUGAAGAAUUUCUUUCAGAGAAUUUGCGUGAGGAGUGUCUAAAUGAUUUUUAUCUUCUGAACAUAUUCUUGUAUGACUAACUGAAUUCAUUUUUUCAAAACGUCGGUACUUUUCCUUUUUCAUUUAUGUUGCUCGAUUGAGUCCACAUGCCUGCCCUUACUGAGUUUGCUCAAGAGUAAGAUAAACUUGAUAUUUAUGUUUGUCGGCAGCAGCGUGACUAGCUGAUCUGUAGCGGCGCGGAAGGUGAGCUUGGCUGCAGGUAGCAGCUCCUUUGGCUGAUCUGCGGCGAUGCAGAAGUUGGGUUGGAAAGAAGCACGACCGGCUGCUCUGAAGUGGGACGUAGGGAGAGCUUCGUAAGAGAUAGGGAGGGAGCUCUAUUGGCCCGUGCAUGACAUCCAACCCAAUGGCAUCAUGCCCUGGUAAGCUUCUUAUCUGUUCCAAUUCUUGCACUUGGUCUUUUUCUUUCUAACCCUAAAAAUAGAGUGUGCCUUGAUUCCUAAUCAUGCUUUAAAAGCUGAUAUCCACCUCGUUUAUCUUGCUACUAGUGGUAAUGUGUGCAAGUAUGAUUUUGUGAUAAUGCCAGAUGUUGUGUGCCUUCUUUAUUCAUGGUACGAGUACUCUAACCUGGCUCGUAUGAUAAUGUAUCACUGCUAUAGAGCACAAACGACGUGUUUUUUAAUUAUAUUUUAGUUGACAUGGAUUUCAUUUAUCUUGUGAAUUGUAUAGUCAGAUCAUGAAUUUUUAUGAUUGAUUGAUUUUCAUGGUCACAGGUAGGCAUGGUUGUGUGGCCACGGGGAAAAUGGAGCAAGUAGCAUGUGAGGAGUUUAACAAAUGGGGACAAGGGACAGUUUAGUUAAUUAAGGCUCUAUGUUAGUUUCAAGUUUUAUCCUUGUUGCGGUAAAAAAUUAUGGUUGGAUUAACCACCAUGUACAUCUUUAAUUACUUUUAAAUAAGAAAUAUAAUCAAAAUAUUCUUUUGAAUUGAUAAAAUUUAUAUAAUUUGUACAAGUACAUGAAGGUGGAACAGGAGGAAGGGUGGGAGAAGAUUAGAUAUCGUUUCAUUUUCUUGCAAGGAAAGGAUGGUUACGAAGAAAUGACAAGAAAUGGAGGGACAAUCAGUUUUAUUACUGUAUGGAUGGAAACCACAUGCCAGCUUGUCCAACAUAUUUCUACAUUGAGUCAAUUAUUCAAUCGCUAUAUUUUUUUUAUUCCAUGGCAAUGCAUGGUCAUUCAACUAUUCAAAUUUACGGGUUAUUCAUCCACUUUUUUCAAGCUAUUUACAUAUUUGUCACUUGUCAGCAAGUUUGCAUAUGAUGCUAGGAAGUGAACAUAAGGACACAUAAACGUUGCAUUUUGAAUAUGAAAUAAACUCAACAUCCAAAUACCAGAUUCGAUGCUCUGUCCAUCAGAGAGCAGGAAAUGUAAGGAUCCUUCUAAAUAAGAUAUUACCUAUCUUGAAGCUGGAAAUGCAAGAAUUCUUCUAAAUAAGAUAUUAGUUAUCUUCAUGAUGGAAAUGCAAGCAUCCAAAAUUUACAACAAUAUUUCUAAAAACUGAAAACAAGCUUGCAAUCUUGAUAUAAGAAUGAAACAUAAGCAACAUCACAGAGUUUGCUAUUUCUUUUUAAACAUAAUUACCAACAAGUGAUAUACAGGUGAACUUGCAGUUUAUUCAAAUUGGAAUGCGGCUCACUCUACUAAAAAGGACGAUGUCACUCACUCCGAGUAAAAACGGUCAUCUACUCACAUUUAACAUCUGACCAAUGAAUAUAUAUUGUAUAUGAGUUUUCUAUUUUUUUAUUUUAAUAUUGUUUGUAUGUUUACUUUUGUAGAUCAAAGAUCAAAACUGAUGGCUUUUUAUUGACAAAGCUUUAUGGUGAACCAGACUGAAAAAUCAUCGGGUUUUACACAAUCAGAAGAGAUGCAUACAAAUAAUUGUUCUUUAUAUAUUUGUUGUGCAUGAUAAUACAAAAGGUAUGUUUCUAUACAUAUUUAUUUUUGCAGAGUAUGAAAGAGAUGGAGAUGGAUUAUGUCAGCGUUCAAAAAGAAUCCAUCGACAAGGGUGUUGAGGCAAUGUCAUUGGAAGAGCCCAAAAAUUCAUUAAGAUUUUGUACAACAAAAGGCCCGUGGCAACG
This 5518-nucleotide long non-coding RNA is filed under the name Triticum aestivum (bread wheat). RNAcentral's name for it is "long non-coding RNA (TAES_LNC003952)". The record is from RNAcentral. Lineage: Eukaryota; Viridiplantae; Streptophyta; Magnoliopsida; Poales; Poaceae.